AGAACGAACGCUGGCGGCAUGCCUAAUACAUGCAAGUCGAACGAACUCUUCGGAGUUAGUGGCGCACGGGUGCGUAACGCGUGGGAAUCUGCCCCUUGGUUCGGAAUAACAGUUGGAAACGACUGCUAAUACCGGAUGAUGACGAAAGUCCAAAGAUUUAUCGCCAAGGGAUGAGCCCGCGUAGGAUUAGCUAGUUGGUGAGGUAAAGGCUCACCAAGGCAACGAUCCUUAGCUGGUCUGAGAGGAUGAUCAGCCACACUGGGACUGAGACACGGCCCAGACUCCUACGGGAGGCAGCAGUAGGGAAUAUUGGACAAUGGGCGAAAGCCUGAUCCAGCAAUGCCGCGUGAGUGAUGAAGGCCUUAGGUUGUAAAGCUCUUUUACCCGAGAUGAUAAUGACAGUAUCGGAGAAAUAAGCCCCGGACUAACUCCGCACCAGCAGCCGAC
This 447-nucleotide ribosomal RNA is filed under the name uncultured soil bacterium. Its description in RNAcentral is "bacterial SSU rRNA". It matches the Rfam family "Bacterial small subunit ribosomal RNA", at positions 26 to 518 of the family's 1533-position model. The record is from RNAcentral.